UCCUCCUGGAGCAGAGCACAAACUGUCACCGGAGGAUGCCGUGAGCACGAGCACUCUUAAUUCAUUAUUGAGGUUCGGAAUGAAUUAUUAACUGGAGAAAAGCAUCCAGAGCCAGAGUUGUCUGUCAUUGCAAUGGGAGGAAAGGGUAGUAACACAGCUAGGUGGUCUCCCUACAUCAUCACCCUCUUCCCCAUCCUCAAGGCUCUCCCAAGCCAUGACUCUAAUUCUCAUUCCAUCCCUGACUUACUGUUUGACCUCAGGAGAGUCACUUAAUCUCAGUUAGUGCUUAAGUUUCCCCUUCGGUGAGAGCCAAAGGGGCCUGGCUGUGCAGCCAGCACGCAACCGGGCCCGAGAAGGGGAUGCGUUGACUCAGAGCCUUCCAUCAUUGCUGUAAGGCCAACGGAAAUGAAUCACAGGCUCAAAGCCCCAGUGGCUUUCUCCAACUACUACCAAAUUAGCCCUUUGGGAUGGCUAAAUCUGUGGAAUGCAAUGAAGGGGAAAAGAUGGUUACCCUAAACUCAGAGGGGGAGGACCUCUGUCAACAGAGGGCAUGGGGCAGGGUAGAGAGAGAUCCAAGGCUGGCUAGAAUGGUUGCGAAUAGUUUGCCCUAUUGAGGAGAACACACCAGCCUGUUUUUUUGUUUUUUGUUUGUUUGUUUUUUUAAUAGAUAAACACAAUAGACAGUAUGUGAACUCUCUUCCAGCCCUUGACAUUUAAGAUUAAGGGAAAUUACAUGCAAGGUUGUAGAAUAAAUUCAAAAUGAUAUACAUAUAUAUCAUAAGACCUACAAGGGCGAUGUGAAAGAGAGCUGCACACAUGUCUUAGGCAGUGGUGACUGGUAAAGGCUGACAUGCCAAAAGAGCUGAGGCUGGGAGGGGGAAUCCCCUUGCCAUGGCUCCCUAUACCCUAAGUCUGUUUAUCCCAGGGAGAAGAAAGAUCUAUAGAGAUGAAGCCUAUAUCCCUAUGAGAACAGUCUAGAAAGGUCCUGUGUGGACAGCACACCUUCAGUACAACAGAAUUCAGAGAGGACUCUGACAGAGUAUGUUCCAUUGUCAUGGCUGUGGUCACAGCCCUGAAAGGGGCACAGGACAGUUGAAAACCUUGCAGAACCUGCAUAGUCUAACCAUUGUCUAGAAUAGCCCCUGCUAAUCGAAGGGCAGACUUGGAAUUUGUCCACAUCACCUUCCCGGGCAUGCUUGUAUGAAGGGUUUUCCAGGCACCAGUAGAAUGCCUUUGAGUCUGCAUCACUUUGCAGAUCAGCUCACCGCACCACCCGGGAAACAUCGGUAAUUGAUGGGUGCUUCAAUCACACAGAAAAGCCUCUAACGUUUUAUGAGCAACACUGUAAAUCUUAUCUGCAGCAUCCAAAGUGACUGAUGAGACAGGUCCUCUGAGAGACUGAAUAUCUCAAGAAUCUCACAUGAAACCGCAGCUUAUGAAUACCUUUGUCUUGUGACACUAUUUAUAAGCUCCAUGAGCCAUAAUGGGAUUCAAUAUAUAUAUGUAUUACGAUAAAACAUUAAAAAUUUGUUGGCAGGUCUUUGUACAUGCUUAGAAGAGAAAAGGGUUAUUUCUCGAUGUUUAAAAGGAGAAAAAAAUUGGGCAAUUUUUGAGCACUAAUACACUGUUUGAAGAACAAUCCAGAGAUGAGACAGGUAGCUUAAUCACUAAAGCAUUUGCCGUGUACGUGUGAGGACUCGUGUUUGAUCCUUGGAACUUAUGUUAAAAAAAAAAAAAAAAAGCCAAACAUGAUGGUUCACUCUUUAAUCCUAGCACCAAUACCAAGACAGGCAUAUCUCUGAGACUUGCUAUCCAGCUAAAGUAUCCUAACCAGUGAGCUUCAAGCCAAUGAAAGACCCUGUCUCCAAAACAAAACAACAAAGAAGUGGAUGGUGUAGGGGUAGUUGGCUACACUAUGUUGGCUCUUGGCAGGUCAAAUGUGCGCACUUGCUCAUGAGCUAUUUGGAUUCCCAAAUGGAAGACACACACACACACACACACACACACACACACACCCACCAGUUAAUUUUAAAAUGCCUUGGCUAUCUUAAAGGCUGAUCAGUUCUAAUCCUCCCCACGGCUAGCACACACGUCCCUCUUGUAAUCCUGGUUUAACACCCUCUAUAUUCUAUAUUUUAUCUUUGUAGCCUUGGCUCCUUCUGGGCGGCUCCCUAGUCUUUGCUGCCCAAGACGCUUCUGGACAGCCCUUUCGGGGGUCACAUUCCUUCUCACCUACAAUUUGGAUGAUUUUCCUCCUGCAGCUCUAAAUCUGAUCUGUCUCCCUCCGGAUCAUGGUGACUCUGUCUCUUUAUUUCCAUGUCCUAUCCCGUGUAAAGCUAAAGGCCCCGCCCGUCUCCCUCUGUCCAGCCAUAGGCUGUAUGGCAAUUCUUAACUACUAAUCAGAGCCAGCUGGGAACAGGCUUCCUUUAGCCUACGUGUGGAACCUUGCAAACAGGUUUUUUAGGGUGACACAAUUAGCAAGAGAACAUCAGCUGCUGUAGAUGGAACCUGAGGGACAUCUCAAGGAUGUCCUCUGGAUUCCACACACCCAUGUACACCCCCUACCCCCCAGCCCCCACAACACUAACAAAUCAAAUCCAUUCGGCCGUAGUGAGCACGGAGGAAGCCUGUGGUGGUCUCUGGCAGAAGUUCAGAUCUUAUACUUAGUUAUCAGAUUGAGACCUUUAUUCCAUCCCGUUGGUCAAGGUCCAUUCAAAUACAGACUUUGGCUUUCAGGUUCAAGUGCAAAUGCAUAUUUGAGACAAUCUAGAUGCAGUCUAGUUAUUUGCUUUUCAGUUUGCUCCUCUGCUGUAGGUGUUCAAGGGAAGGACAAUCGUCUCCUGUCAUCCCCAAGUCACGGGGUGAGGAGUAGAUGUGCGUGAUGACUCCUCUAUGGAUCAGCAUGGUCGAAUGAUGAUAACCCCUUAAUUUUCUCUAAUGUUGUUGCUGCUGUUCCCCCUGCUUUCUCCCGUGAGGAGCAUCGGCUGGCAUACCCACUUGCCUGCCUUUUGGUGACAGCAUCUGGAUUUUACAUAUGGAUGACUCUAGCAACCGACUGGGCUAGCGAUCUAGCUUGGGCCAAUCAGAAAGCAACACUCGUGCUCCAUCCCUGGCCUUCCUUCUCUCCUGUGGGGGUUGCUAUCGCUGUCCCGUGGAACAGCAGGACGAACAGAAGACAAGGUCUCCCAAAAGAGAGAAAAUGAUGACAUCAUCUGAACUGCCUUUAUAGAGAAACCUGUUUGGAGUCAAGUUAUACUUGGAAUGAAAAACAUCCUCAUGUGCAUAAUUCUUGUGAUUUUUUUCCUUCCUUCAGUUACUUACAAUUAACGUUUCCAAACGCAAAGAUAGGUAAGAAGAAUGGUAAGUGAAAGUCUGUAUUUCGUCUAAAUUCACCAGUUAACAAAUUGACACAUAAUCAUUAUCUCUUUGUACCUUCUAUUACCAUAUAUCUCUGUAUCUACCUAUCUCUCUCUUUCUGUCUGUCAUCUACCUGCCAACCUGUCUGUCUGCCUAUUUAUCUAUCCAUCUGUUCCAUUUCCUUUUGCUACCAUUCAACACCAGUAGUAUUAUCAUUAAAUACGUUAAAUUAAAACCAACUCAAUAAAUAGCUCAUCUUAAAAAUUUCUGAGUUUUUCCUUAAAUUGUUUUUUUUUAACCUCAUCUUAUUCUUUCCUUAAGAUUCAUCAGUCAACUUUCAAUACUGUUUGUUUGGUUUUGGCUUUUUGAGACAGGGUUCCUCUGUGUAGCCCUGGCUAUCCUGGAAUUCACGCUGUAGACUAGGCUGGCCUUGAAUUCAGAAAUCCACCUGCCUCGGCCUCUUGAGUGCUGGCAUUAAGGCGUGCGCCACCACACCUGGCCUGUUUUGGUUUUUGUCUCUUUUAACUUACAGCAGUGUCCUGAAUUUCAUUGUACUUUUCCUUUACUGACAUUGUGUGGUGGCAAUUUUAUGCCAACUUAAUGCGGGCUAAAGUCAUCUGAAAGGAAGGAACCCCAACUGAGAAAAUGCCUCUGUAAGGUAGGGCUGCAGGCAAGCUUGGAGAGCAUUUUCCUAAUUAGUGAUUGGUGAGGGAGGGCCCAGCACACUGUGGGUGGGGCCAUCCCUGGGAUGGUGGUCCUGGGUUCUAUAAGAAAGCAGGCUGAGCAAGCCAUGAGAUACAAGCCAGUAAGCAGCACCCUCAUGGAAUCUGCAUCAGCUCCUGCCUCCAGGUUCCUGUCCUGUGUGAGUUCCUGUCCUGACUUCCUCCAGUGAUGGACUACAAUGUGGAAGUCGUGUUCACAGAGGUACUUGGUGGGUACUGAGCAAGUGAAUGAACAGGCUGUUCUCUUCCGUCUGCACUCACACUCCUGCGAGGAAACUGAGACCAAACCCCAGGAAGAACAUUUUUCAAGGUUACCGUACAAAGUGAGUCUGUAAAUACAGUCAUCCUCCCAGUGGCCAAAGGGCUGAGAGGAACUGACGCCAGUAAUUGUGCAGAGAUGAGCCCUCGACCCCGGCAGGAGCAAUCAGUCCCCAUCGGAUGUGCACGGGGACACGGAAGAACGAAGUCCAAUGAAAUCCCUCCUCCCUGGACCUGCUGGGCUGAGAGCACGUGGAUGUGGAGCAAGCAGUAGGGGAGCCAGCCACCUCAUGGGGCGAGCCCUCGUGUAGAAUGAAGCUGAACUGAGCGAGGCUGAGUUGGAUGUCGGAGGGAGGGACGGCGUUCAGAUCAUCUUUUGAACUGGUGUGUCGUGCACCAGUCAGUGUCUCUUCCUGGACUUGCCGGCUCUCUGGAAACCAGAAAAUUCUCUUUCUUGUUUCUUCUAGCUUGAGAUUGCUUUCUGAUACGUUCAUCUAAAAGGAUCUUGAACAAUUCAGGAAGCUUAGACUUCACCCCACAGAUCAAAGCUUCCCAAAGUGGUUUUCUUUGAUCACUAGCCCCAGAAGUCCUUUAAAAAAAAAAGUAGAAGAAGAAGAAAAAGAAAAAGUUACACAGUAAAUCUGGUUUGAUAAUACUGUCUCCCAGAGCCUCCUUUGUACAUUAGUAUAGUAACAUAUUAAACACUAAAAGGUUCUCCUUGCUGAGAAACCCUCCAUUGUCAUUCCACAUCCAUUGUGAACUAUUUCCACCCUGCUCUGAGCCCUGGGAGGUUGACCGGAUGCUCCAAAUCAACAGACACCUCACCUUUAACGGAGCAAAGGCCUCAUCAUGGGGUCAGGUGAAGGGAAGAUAUUUUACUGUAGGUUCAUUCCCCACGGGCUGCCCAGCCCGGUCAUCGUGGGCUUGUCUGUGUCUCUCCUCUCUAGGCACAGAUGCUGCUGGGCAUUGCCUUCCAGGUGGAGUCCCCUUUCCUGCUCUGGCUUUCUGAGUGGUUGAUGGAGCCCUGCUGCUGGGACAAGUCCAGAGAAGCAUUGAACCUUCUUUUUGUGGCUUCACUGAUCCCAGCCUGUCAUUUACUAAGCUGUUCUGAGAUGAGUCAUUUGAGUGUGUUAUGUUUCCUUCAAGGGCCCGUUGGAAGUCGAAUUCCCAAUUAAUCCAUUAUCUCCUAACACCAUUGAAUCUGGGGCUUCUUUUUAAUGGGAAAUCACUUUCCAAUGGGCUAUACACCAGAGAAGUUUUGACCACAGGCUUUUUUUCCCCGGAGUCUUGGAAGGGUGGUGUUUUUGACUCAAGAUUCCAGAAGGGGAUGGUGGGUGAUGGCGGUGCAUGCCUUUCAUCCCAACACACUGGA
Long non-coding RNA from Mus musculus (house mouse), 5709 nucleotides. RefSeq annotates it as predicted gene, 41215. The transcript has 3 exons. Lineage: Eukaryota; Metazoa; Chordata; Mammalia; Rodentia; Muridae. The record is from RefSeq and is a predicted model, not a curated record.